GGUAGCACAGAGAGCUUGCUCUUGGGUGACGAGUGGCGGACGGGUGAGUAAUGUCUGGGGAUCUGCCCGAUAGAGGGGGAUAACCACUGGAAACGGUGGCUAAUACCGCAUAACGUCGCAAGACCAAAGAGGGGGACCUUCGGGCCUCUCACUAUCGGAUGAACCCAGAUGGGAUUAGCUAGUAGGCGGGGUAAUGGCCCACCUAGGCGACGAUCCCUAGCUGGUCUGAGAGGAUGACCAGCCACACUGGAACUGAGACACGGUCCAGACUCCUACGGGAGGCAGCAGUGGGGAAUAUUGCACAAUGGGCGCAAGCCUGAUGCAGCCAUGCCGCGUGUAUGAAGAAGGCCUUCGGGUUGUAAAGUACUUUCAGCGGGGAGGAAGGCGAUGUGGUUAAUAACCGUAUCGAUUGACGUUACCCGCAGAAGAAGCACCGGCUAACUCCGUGCCAGCAGCCGCGGUAAUACGGAGGGUGCAAGCGUUAAUCGGAAUUACUGGGCGUAAAGCGCACGCAGGCGGUCUGUUAAGUCAGAUGUGAAAUCCCCGGGCUUAACCUGGGAACUGCAUUUGAAACUGGCAGG
RNAcentral lists this ribosomal RNA (581 nucleotides) under Pantoea sp. RNAcentral describes it as "bacterial SSU rRNA". It matches the Rfam family "Bacterial small subunit ribosomal RNA", at positions 68 to 640 of the family's 1533-position model. Lineage: Bacteria; Pseudomonadati; Pseudomonadota; Gammaproteobacteria; Enterobacterales; Erwiniaceae. The record is from RNAcentral.